Molecule: long non-coding RNA, 879 nt
Filed under: Salmo trutta (river trout)
Lineage: Eukaryota; Metazoa; Chordata; Actinopteri; Salmoniformes; Salmonidae
Description: lncRNA (ENSSTUG00000008408.1)
Source: RNAcentral
CUGUGAUGUGUUCGCUGUUGAAGUUUUGACAUCAUUUGCAUCUCUUUCAUGACUGGCAUGUUUACUAGUGUAGAUAGUGUAGCCUGGAUGCCUGGGUGCAACCCGAUCCUGUGGUGUUUGCUUGAGCCUCAUGUUGCUGUGGAUUUUCAGGUUGACUGACGGUCGGUGUUGUGUGGUUCUGAUCUUCAGAGAGACACCAGGAUGGCAACUGAAGGGGCCACAGAGAAGAGAGCCAACUUGGUGGCAUCUAAAGUCAUGUGGAGUAACAGGGAUGACGUACCUAUGUCAGCACCAGAACGGUCACAUGGCAGUGACAGAGCUGGAAUCUGUAGACAGAACAACGUCCAACAGUGGCUUAGAAGUCAUGAGGCGGAUGCAAAACCAGACCACACCAGAGAAGCUGCAGCAGGGCUUCUUAAGAGGAACGCCAGCAGUGAGGAUGACUUAGCGUUGGGCGUCGAAGGUAAAUAGAUCUUUCAUCUUGUAGUCGUUGUUUUUAGGGUGACAUGAACACCAGGUAGAACCGAGCCGAGGACAGAGGAGUAAGUUAAAAACAGGUUCUGUGGUUUUAAAACAUCUCAAUGAUUUAUCUACUGUGUGCUCAGAGGAACAUUUGAGCUGUCUGAGAGUGGGUACACAAUGAGAAAAAUGUUGCUGAGGGCUGGUGUAUUUAGGUGAGGGGGUAAAAUAUUGGCAGAGGAGAGGUGGUGUCUGUACUUCUUGCUAAUCUCAAGGCUGAGCAUCCAGCAGUAGACAGAGGGAGGGACAGUUAAGACCAGGAUGAAAGUCUUAGAGACUGGGAGAAGACCAUACCAGACCUGGGUUCAAAUAGUGGUUGAAAACCUUCAAAAUACUUUGAGCGUUUGCUCUAGCCUGCCU